GACGAACGCUGGCGGCAUGCUUUACACAUGCAAGUCGAACGGAAAGGCCCUGCUUUUGUGGGGUGCUCGAGGGACGAACGGGUGAGUAACACGUGCGUACCCUGCCCUUGACGUUGGGAUAACUACAGGAAACUGGAGCUAAUACCGGAUAGGAGCUCCUGCUGCAUGGAGGGGGUUGGAAAGUUUCGGCGGUUGGGGAUGGACUCGCGGCUUAUCAGCUUGUUGGUGGGGUGGUGGCUUACCAAGUAAUUGAACGGUAGCCGGCCUGGGAGGGUGGCCGCCCACCUUGGGACUGAGCUAGGCAGCAGUCGCCAACGGGCGGCAACAGGGGGGAAUCUUGCACAAUAGGCGGACGCGUGGUGCAGCGACGCCGCGUGCGGGAUGACGGCCUUCGGGGUAUAAACCGCUUUCGCCUAUUACGAAGCGUGAGUGACGGUAACGGGUAAAUAAGCACCGGCUAACUACGUG
RNAcentral lists this ribosomal RNA (468 nucleotides) under uncultured bacterium. RNAcentral's name for it is "partial 16S ribosomal RNA". It matches the Rfam family "Bacterial small subunit ribosomal RNA", at positions 28 to 507 of the family's 1533-position model. The record is from RNAcentral.